This 72-nucleotide transfer RNA is filed under the name Phrynosoma platyrhinos (Desert horned lizard). Its description in RNAcentral is "tRNA-OTHER". Lineage: Eukaryota; Metazoa; Chordata; Lepidosauria; Squamata; Phrynosomatidae. The record is from RNAcentral.
GCCAAGGUGGCACAGUGGUUUGAGGGUUGGAUUAUGACUCUGGAGACCAGGGUUUGAUUCCCAGCUCGGCCA